UCGCCAACUUCAUAGACGAUAUCAUCAGUCACACGUUCUCUUUCCUCACAUACCAAUGAAUCAAAAAUAUUCGAAUUGCUGAGCUCUGAAAGGGCAAAUUUAAGAUUUUUUUCUUCGUGUAGAAUGCGUUCAUGAAUUAACAACUCUUCUGUGUUUAAAAAAAUUAGAAACUUUGAAGCCAUUGCUCUCGCUCUACCUCGAGAUUGGACAUACUGGGUGACAGUCCGACAAAUAUUGAAGCGUAUAACUAAGUUACAUGAUGGUACAUCGAUACCUUCUUCUGCAACUGCAGUAGCAAUUAAAACAUUAUAUUUUCCAGUCUUAAACUUAUGAAGGGUAUCUUUUUGCCUCCUGAAUGUCAUAGAAAAUUCACCCUGAUCGGACGGUCCAUGUCCUAUAAAAGAAUGAGCGCGGAUGUUAGGCAGAUUAAGAGUUUUCAUAAACAAACUUAAAGUAAACGCCGUAGCUUUUCUUUCAACGAAAAUAACCGUACGAACGCUAUCACUUUUGCGGUAAGUAGCCUUUAACAAUUCUAAGAGUUUAAAGACUUUAUCAGUAACAUCAGUGGAAUCAAAAACAGGGAUUCUAGGGCCAUUGUCUGAAUAUUUGUUAUUUUUCCAAUCUUCAACAAAUAUUUUUAACCGGUCAAUUGCCAGUUCCUCGUCAUCUGACAACUGCUUCCCUAAAGCCUUUUUUUUUAAUCUUUUCGUUUCCACAAAAUCAACCAAAUAUAACCAAACUUGCUCCCCAAACCAAAGACCCAUAUCUAUGGUUUCUGCUAAAGCAGUCUUAACAGCCCGAGAAAUUAACUUGCAUCCUUGAAGAGUUUCCUCGCAUUUCUUGAUAAUAGAAUCCGAGGGUGGCACAACCAACUUAUUGGAAUACAUUACAUAGCUUUCUUCGGGAAGACAGAAGUAAUCGGCUAGCUCGUUUUCCGAAACCACGUGUGCUUUAGAAUCAAAUAAUUGCUCCCAUUGAUACAGUCGAUGGUAUAAGUUUCCUUUUUUUCCAGUGAAUGGUGAAGCAGUCAUACCAAAAAUUCUUGGUAGGGUGAAAUGUUUUUUUGACAAUACUGCUUUGGCUCUGUGAUAAAAAUCAUUCAUGAUGCGAGCAUACGCAUCAUUUCCAAUUGCAUGAUGACAUUCGUCGAAUAUAAUUAAAUUCAAAUCAUUUAUUGAAAGAAAACCUCUUGCAAGAAACAAAUAGAACAAAUCUGCAGUAAUAACAAUCACAUUAUACUUCAAUAUAAUAUUAGUCAACAACUGCUCGCUCAUUUCUAUAGAUAAUUCGCCAUAAAACAUGCCAACCUUAGCCGGUAGUUGAGAUCGAAUGUAUUCCGCUUGUUGAAAUACCAAAGGGACUUUGUUGACGAGAAAAACUGAUAUUUUUUUAUGU
Molecule: non-coding RNA, 1395 nt
Organism: Schizosaccharomyces pombe (fission yeast)
Lineage: Eukaryota; Fungi; Ascomycota; Schizosaccharomycetes; Schizosaccharomycetales; Schizosaccharomycetaceae
Source: the annotation of a GenBank genome assembly